UAGUCCCAUGUUCCUAAGAGAGGUCAGACGUGAGCAGCCUGAAGAAACCUCAAGCAGAGCCCAAGGAAUAAAUCACGAAAUCCCUAAGGAUCUAAAAGGAUCUGCAUGAUGCCUCAGACCUGCCUAGAUGUUGUAGGGUCAGCGAGACCAUGAACCCACCAGGAGGAACAAGCAACUCUGGAGGCGCCACCUUUAAGAGCUGUAACACUCACUGGGAAGGUCUGCGGAUUCACUACUGAUGUCAAGUGGGACCAUGAACCCACCAGAAGGAAGAAACUCUGGACACAUCUGAACAUCUGAAGGAACAAACUCUGGACACACCAUCUUUAAGAACUACAACACUCACCCCAAGGGUCCACAGCUUCAUUCUUGAAGUCAGCAAGACUAAGAACCCACCAGAAGGAACAAAUUCUGGUCACACCAUGGGGAUUGGAAUAUAGUCUGUUGAAAUUGUGGGACCCAUCCACUCCUCACUAGAUUGUAUCCUCAACCCUAUCUGACCUUAUUGCUGCUCACACUCUGUGUCCCAGGAUGAAAUCUCAAGAUGAUGGAGGAGUGCCCCCUUUGACCUGAAGCACCUGCUCAGCUAGGAACCAAAUUCAAGGGGGAGGUGACUUGGACGCUGGCAAGUCUCGACCCGCCCCCCAAUAUACUGGGGAUUCAUGAUCCACAGAAAAAUAGAGAACACAGCCCUGCGACUAAAGCAAAGCCACACAGACAAGCCAUCAAAAUGUUGAGAGACUCAAAUAAAGAAGCACUGAAAUGUGUUAGCCACAUUCUUUUAAGCAGACUCCAUUUGCAGGAACACACACACACAAAGACACAAUACCACACAAACACAUGCAGAAAUCUGACACUCAUAACACUCCCACAGAAACACACAGCCCGGCAGCUUCUGAGGCUGUGUGUUUCUGUAGGAAGCCCCACCUUGGAGAGAGCAACCCCAGGGAACAGAGGCAGGCUCUAACUAAAAAUAUCAUGGGGGCAAGUUUCAUAAAGACUCACUCCUAGAACUCCUGGGCAGGCCUAAGGAAUCCUGCAGAUGAUUUUGGAUCCACAGGGAUUUUGUAGUUUAUUCCUGGGGCUCUGCUUGACAUUUCUUCAGGCUCACUCACAUCUUUCUCUCCUAGGAUCAUGGGAUUAUUCCAUGUAUCCCACAGAGAAGACAGGUGAGAGUCCACCAGCGCACCUCCACAGAGGUCUCUUUCUCCACAAGCUGCAGGGACUUGUCUCUUGCCAACAGUGACAUUCCUUGUGACACUUGCCAGAACUCAAAAUCAGGCAUGGUGCCCUGAGUCUAGCUCAUGCACAUUCGUGAGGCAGGCUCUGGCAUCCGGCUGUCAGAGCUGUCAGCCUGACUAAGCAGAGGAAAAUGCUGCAAGCAGAGCCGGCCUUGUAUCAGGAAAAAGGAUGCCUAUGAAAACCCACUGCGAGACCCUAAAAGUCUCAAACUCAGGGCCUCUUUGGGCCAUCUCCAUGGUCAGGUCCCACUGGAGGAGGAGGUGUUUCAAGACUGUGAGGUGGUCGCUGGAAACUGCUCUUCUGACUCUAUUCCUGAAAGAGGCUGUGUGCAAGAAUCAGGUCCCAUGGAGAUUGGAAUAGAGUCUCUUGUGUUGUUGGGGUUCUUUGGGUGAUAGAAUUAUACUUGAAACCCCAGAGGUGGGCAUCACUAAAAGAUGCCCGAGCUUGACCUCAUGGCAUCCCUUCAUCCUGGGUCUCACAGGGGCUGUCUGGAAAAGUCAGGAACCAUCACAGAGGAAAGUCCAAGGUGAAGCAGUUGUCUCACACCACAGACUGGUCUCUCCUUGGUGCAGAUGAGGUUGACACAGUGACUCAGAGGCUGUCUGUGGUGAUAGUAAGCCUGAAAAUUGUGUUCAGCAGUGCUGUAGUGCUGUUAAGGGUCAUUGUAGAUUUUUCAUGAAAGCAAGGAAAAAACAAGGCUUGCCUGAGGAAAUGAGCUGCCUUGUGCUGGAGUCCAAACUUGGACUGAACUCUUAUGGGUAAAGAUAAGGUAGAGACCAUGUCUCAGAGGUCAUCUUUGAUGAUGCCAAGCCUGAAAAUGAUAUCCAGUAGAGCUGUUGAAGGACACUGUAGAUUGUCCAUAAAAGCAAAGAAAAAUCAAGGUUCACCUGAUAGAAUGAGCUGCAUUGACCUGGAGUUUAAGCAAUGUUCAAUGCUUCCUGUUAGAGGUCCCAAAAGCCUCCUGCAAAUUGCAAACAACCUCAGCCCCCAUAACGAGACAACGACUCAAAACUUGGAGCACCGCCAGACUCCUCAAAGUCCCUUUUGCUCUUUGAAAUCUCUGGAAGCAAAAUAAUCUUUGGCAAGAGGCAGUCCCAUCCAGCCACAGCCCAAUGAAAGAACCCCCACUCAACGAGAAGACCAUGUAGAUGAAAAAAAUCAGAGACUAGAUUGCCAGGCAAAAGCCAGACAGGGCUGCCUGCUUCUCAUCCUACAGGAAUCAUGCGGAAUGCCAAGAGAAGUGAAAAAAAAAAGAGUUUCCUUGUUGGCAGCUGUAAGGGAAUUUACAGUUUUAAAGGUAUCAAAGCUGCCCAGUCAUUAAAUUGUGACAGUGUUUAGAAGGAAACACUCAGGCAAUGGAUUCCCAUUAGGGUCAUUCUCUGUGAACUGAGAAACGUUUACUGUGUCAUUGAGCCAGACACAGGAAAACCUGCACCAACAAGAAACAUGGACAUCAGAGAAAGAAGAGUCAAGUGUGGAGGCCAUAUCCCACCAAGCAUCAAUCCAUUUCAUUCCCAUUUGGCUCCCGGUGAAGUUGUGGGAUCUCAUCCAAUUCCCACCAGAUUGUAUCCUCACCCCUGUCUGACCUUAUUGCUGCUCACACUCUAUGUCCCAAAAUGAAAACCCAAGUUGAUGGAGUAUUGCCCCCUCAUGAUGUGAAGAAACUGCUUGGCUGGGACCUGAAUUUGAGGAUCAUGGGACUGUACCAUGGAUACAACAGAGAAGACAGGCCAGAAUCCACUGCUGACACACCUCCAGGGAAACCUCUUUAUCUGCCAAGCUGCAGGGAUUUGUCACUGGCAAAGGUGACAUUCAUUGUGAAGCUAGCCAGAGCUCGCAAUCAGGCCUGAUGCCCUGAGACUAGGGCACGCACAUUAAUGAGGCAGGCUCUGGCCCUGGCUCUCAGACCUGUCAGCCUGCCUAAGCAGAGGAAAAUGGCAGAGGCAGAGUCGGUCUGGUAUCGGGAAAAAAGCUGCCUGUGAAACCCACUGAAGGACCCUAAAAGUCUCAACUUUGGGGGUUAUUCAAGCCAUCUCCAUGGUUGUGUCCCACUGGAGGAGGAGGUGUUUUGAGACCAUGAGGUGGUCGCAGAAACUGCUCUUCUCUUCUGAGUCCGUUCCCAAAGGAGGCUGUGUGAAAGAAUUAGGUCCCAUAGGGAUUGAUAUAUAGUCUGGUGUGUUCUGGAGGGGUUUUUUGGGUGAUAGCAGCAGACCUGAGAUCCCAGAGGUGGGUGUCAGCAAAAGAUGGCCAGGCUCUUGACCUCUCUGCCUCCCUUCAUCGGGGGCCUCACAUAGGCUCUCUGGGAAAGGCAGGAAGCAAGACAAGGCAAGUAUAAGAUCAACACUGUUCUCACACCUCGAACUUGCCCCUCAUGGGUGCAUAUGAGGAUGUGACACCAUCUCAGAGGCUGUCUGUGGUGACGGCAAGCCUAAAAAUGGUGUCCAGUAGUGCUGUUGAGGAGCACUGUGAAUUCUCCAUGAAAGCAAAGAAAAAUCAAAGCUCACCUGAAACAACAAGAUGCCUUUUGCCAGAGUCCAAGCAAUGUUCAAUGAUUCCUGUCAGAGGACCCCAAAGACUCCUGCAAAGUGCAAACAACUUCAGCUCCCACAACAUACAACAAUCCACAAUCUGGAGUGCAGCCAGAUGAUGCAAAGUCCCUUCUGCUCUCUGAUAUCUCUGGCAGCUAAAUAAUUGGUGGGAAGAGGCAUUCCUAUCCAGCAACAGAACAAUGCAAGAGCCCCUCCACUAUGAGAAGGCCAUACAGAUGACAGGAAACAGAGGCUAGUUUACCAGGCAAAGCCAGACACAGCUGCCAGCUUGUCAUCCUACAGGAAUCAUGCAGCACUCCAAUAGAACUGGGAGAAUAAGAGUUUCCUUGUUGUUGGCUGUAACAGGAGUUUAUGGUUUUUAAAGUAUCAAAGCUACCGAGUCAUUAAAACAUGAGAGUUUUUAGAAGAAAACACUCAUGCUAUGGAUUCCCAUGAGGGUCAUUCUCAUGAACUGAGAAACAUUUAGUGUGGAAGCCGUUGAGCCAGACACAGGAAACCCUAGGCUGGUGAAGUUGCUGGACCCCAUUUUCCAUUCAGCAGAUUGUAUCCUCACCACAGCUGACCUUAUUGCUGCUCAGACUCUAUGUUCCAGGAUAAAAUCACAAGAAGAUGUAGUAGUGCCCCCUCAUGAUGUGAAGCAUGUUCACAGCUGGGAACCAAAUUCGAGGUUAAUCUAAGUGGCCUUGCAGACAGAUCUGCUAGUGUCUCUCCCUGCGUUGUCCUCAAGAUGAUGGAAACACUGAGAGAUACCUGGUUUUUGGUGUGGUGUGCUACUCUUCUGGAAGAGUGGUUUUUAGUGCAGGGGGAGGUGAUUUGGACGCUGGCGGGUCUUGGCCCACCUCCAAAUUCACUGCGGAUUCAUGAUCCACAGAAAAAUAACACGGAGCCAUGCAGCCCAAGCAUAGCCACACAGACAGGCCACCAAAAUGUAGUGAGGCUAAAAACAAGAAGCACUGAAGUGUGUUAGCCCCAUUCCUUUAAGCAGACUCCACUUACAGGCACACACACACACACACAAUGCCACACACACUCGAUGUCAAACACUCACAACAUGCCCACAGAAACACACAGCAUGGCAGAUCCUGAGGUUGCAUAGUUCUGCAGGAGGCCCCACCUGGGAGACAGCAACCCCAGGGAACACAGGCAGGCUGUACCUAGAAAUCACAUUGGGGCAAGUUUCAAAGCCCAUACAACUUAUAGGCUGGCCUGAGGAAUUCUGCAGAUCCUUUGGGAUCCUUAGGGAUUUUGCAGUUUAUUUCUGGGGCUGUGGUUGAUGUUUCUUCAGGCUGACUCCCACAAGCUCUCUGACCUUGGUUGAUGUUUCUUCAGGCUGGCUCACAUCUGCCCUCUCAUAGUAUCAUGGGACUAUCCUGUGGAAUCCACAGAAAAGACAGGGGAGAGUCCACUGUCAAUGCACCUCCAAGCAGAUCUCCUUUUCUGCCAAGCCACAGGGACUUUUUGCUAGGCAACAGUGACAUUCAUUGUGAGGCUAGCCAGAAUUCACCAUCAGGCCUGGUGCCCUGAGAAUAGUACAUGCACAUUCUUCAGGCAGGUUCAAGAACCCAGCUGUCAGAGCUGCCAGCCUGCCUAGGCAGAAGAAAAUGCACAGGCAAAGCUGGCCUCACAUCGGGAAAAUGGCUACCUGUGAAAACCCACUGUGACACCCUAAACGUCUUGACCUUAGGGUCCCAUGGGCAGUCUCCACGGUCUCCUCCCGCUGGAGGAGUAGGCAUUUCAAGACUGUUAGGUGGUCGCUGGAAACUGCUCUUCUGACUCCAUUCCUGAAAGAGAAUGUGUGUGUACAAUACCCCAAUCCCAUGGGGAUUGGGAUAUAGUCUGUUGUGUUGUUCAGUGUUCUUUGGGUGAUAGAAGACCCCAGAGGCAGGUGUCAGCAAAAGCUGGCCAGACCCUUAAUCUCACUGCCUCCCUUCAUCCUGGGCCUCACAGGUGCUCUCCCAGAUAAUCAAGAACCAAAAGAAAGGCAAGUCGAUGUUGGAGACAUGUUCUCACACUUUGAACUGGCCUGUCAUGGGUGCAGAUGAGGUUAAGACAGUGUCUCAGAGGCGGUCUGUGGAGAUUGCUACCCUUAGGGUAUCCAGUAGUGUUGAUGUAAGAGCACUGUGGAUUCCUAAUGACAGGAGAAAAAAAUCACUUGAGAGAAUUGUUGGGAAACCAGCCCCACAAUGCCCCGUGGGUACCCUAAAUCCAACAGAGACAAAUAAUUAGAAAGAGACAGAAUGAGAGUUUAAAAGGCAGGUCCAGGGGACCAGAGAAUUGGAGGCUUGCUCAUGGCCUGGAGCUCUCAGCCACCACCCAAUUUAUUGCUUUACAAGCUCUUUGUUCUUAGGGCAGAUCUGAGGGGUAGGAAGGGCUGAGGGAAAGGAUUAAUCAGUGAGGGAGAACCCGUGAGUCAUUCAAUAAGAUGUAUAGCAGUAGCAGUUUCUGUGAAUUUCCUCUAGCAAAGGCGUGUGUCUAAACUACUUAAUAUAUUUAACUUAUCAGGACUGAAAUGGAUGGGAGAAGGCUUCAGGAGAAGCCAAGAUGUUUGAUUAUACUCCACUGCUUCAAGAGAGUGUUAUUUCCCUGAGCAACCUGUGGCAGCCCGCUGAGCUGUUAUGCUCUCUGGGCAUAAGGACAUGAAGGCAAUAAGGAGACUUUUCUCCUCAGAGGCCACCCAUGGGAGUGACUCCCCAUGGGAGUCUCACACCGGAGAGAUCAACUCAUUUGGCAUCCCAGAAACUCUCUUUCCCACAUGUCCCACUUUUUUGUCUCCAUUUUUUUAAAUUAAUAACCACCAUUGCUAUCAUAGCUCAUUCACGGUGUCUAUCUACUCUCCCAAGAUGCUGUCUGCAUCAGUAGGUUAAAAAAAAAACAGCAUAAAAAGACACACACCAAAGUAAUAUUUGCAAUUGAUGAUCCACCUAUGGUUUUAAUUCACUUUAAAGGAUUAGUGUUAAAAAGGCCCUCAGUGGUUCCAGCAAGAAUAUCAGCUCUAGGCAACAGGAUGGGAUGAGCCUGAGAUGCGGCAAAAAGUUGUUUUUUCAGUUUAGCAGGAUCUAAUGUUAAAUUAUCUUCUUCUCCUGGUAGGUGAUGUCUAAUCAUCUCCCAGUGGUGUUCAGUGAUAUUAUAAGAGCUAGGAGGAAUACGAAAUCAGAAGUAUUCCAAUCACAUUGCAUUUGAAUUCUAUGCUCCAAGUUCAUAAUCCGAUCUCCCAUUCAGAUUACUGUCUGAUGAUCAUUAAUUUGAUUUGCCAAUUUUUGAUCUAUUUGGCUUUGGGAAUUCCAAAGCUUGGAAGAAUUUUUCUGACAACUAUGCACAGCGCUCGCAGGUUGAAUAGAAGAGUGCAAAGCAAAGCCAGCAGCAGCAGCUAUAGCUGUGACAGAUUUAAGACCCAUGAUGAGAGCUAUUAAAG
Molecule: long non-coding RNA, 7203 nt
Organism: Homo sapiens (human)
Lineage: Eukaryota; Metazoa; Chordata; Mammalia; Primates; Hominidae
Source: Ensembl